GCUUUCUGUCCUUCUGUCUGUUCUCAGUCGGAGUCGACUCGUACUUAUCUGGAGUCGACUCGAGCUCGUGCCAGUGAACUUGAUACGCUUGGAGUCGACUCGUGAUACUCGGGAGUCGACUCGAGUCUCAGGCAUUGGUUCAAAUAGACUCCUUAACUUAUCCAAAAAUUAUGAACCAAGUCUUGGGACACUAGACAGGAUUUUCACUGAAAUACUCAAUUGAAUUCAUUAGUAAUCAAAAGAUAUACUCAAAUGCUUUGAGCUCAUCAAAAUCAA
Molecule: long non-coding RNA, 276 nt
Filed under: Phoenix dactylifera (date palm)
Lineage: Eukaryota; Viridiplantae; Streptophyta; Magnoliopsida; Arecales; Arecaceae
Description: long non-coding RNA (PDAC_LNC009520)
Source: RNAcentral